CCCUGACAGCCGCACAAUGUGGCUGACACUUGCCACGACAGGAGAUCAUCAUG
This 53-nucleotide non-coding RNA is filed under the name unclassified sequences. The record is from Rfam.